AUGAGAUAUUUCAUGCUCGUAAGCUGCGUUUCGCUUCUAAACUGUUACAAAAACCCAAGAGACAAUGAAUUUGCACACAUACAUUUUAAACCUGAGUUUUCUUCCUUUUUUUUUUUUUUUUUGUAUGCAUGGAAAAACUACUACUUUUCUGAUUUGCUACCCCAUCUCUCUGACCUUGUUUUUAUUACUGUAGCAUACCUGCUCCCAAAUAAUUGCAAGUAUAUGCAAGAUCUAAUUUUAUUCCUUCUUUUUCUUACCAGCUGGAAAGCACGUAAUACUGCUGAAAAGAUGCAAAGAGAAGAUGCAAUUCUAUUAAGGUGUUCCAUCUAUGACUUUGCUGAGUUAUGCAAGUGCAAAGUCGAAACUAUUUCUCAGUAG
This 378-nucleotide long non-coding RNA is filed under the name Phasianus colchicus (ring-necked pheasant). RNAcentral's name for it is "lncRNA (ENSPCLG00000021946.1)". Lineage: Eukaryota; Metazoa; Chordata; Aves; Galliformes; Phasianidae. The record is from RNAcentral.